Long non-coding RNA from Oncorhynchus nerka (sockeye salmon), 984 nucleotides. RefSeq lists it as uncharacterized. Lineage: Eukaryota; Metazoa; Chordata; Actinopteri; Salmoniformes; Salmonidae. The transcript has 4 exons. The record is from RefSeq and is a predicted model, not a curated record.
ACUCAAUGUCAUAUUUAGAUUUAGAGUUACUGACAUGAAUAGAAGCAUAUACAAGCAAUCUAUCAAAUGUAUUUUAUAAAGCCCCCUUUACAUCAGUAGUUGUCACAAAGUGCUUAUACAGCCGGCCUAAAACCCCAGAGAGCAAGCAAUGCAGAUGUAGAAGCACGGUGGCUAGGAAAAACUCCCUAGAAAGGCCAAAACCUAGGAAGAAACUUAGAGAGGAGCCAGGCUCUGAGGGUGGCCAGUCCUCUUCUGGCUGUGCCGGGUGGAGAUUAUAAACUUAGAGAGGAGCCAGGCUCUGAGGGUGGCCAGUCCUCUUCUGGCUGUGCCGGGUGGAGAUUAUAAACUUAGAGAGGAGCCAGGCUCUGAGGGUGGCCAGUCCUCUUCUGGCUGUGCCGGGUGGAGAUUAUAAACUUAGAGAGGAGCCAGGCUCUGAGGGUGGCCAGUCCUCUUCUGGCUGUGCUGGUGGAGAUUAUAAAAGAGUACAGCCCUUUAGGGCAGAUUGUUCUUCAAGAUCUUUAAAUGUUCAUAGAUGACCAGCAGUGUCAAAUAAUAAUAAUGACAGUGGUUGUAGAGGGUGCAAUAGUUCCAUGUAGUCAUGGCUGUUCCAGGACUGGAGUGGCACGCUGGAACUUCCAGAGGCUUGUAGACCUGAAGCAGUGUGAUGUGGUCCAGAUCUUACACCCUAUUAGCUCAACCACAGUCCUCACAGCUGCAGUUGUCUGUACCUGCUACACCGACCACAACAGGUGAUACAGAUCUGCCAUGCACUCCACCACUGCCUGACAGCCUCACCCAGAAGACACUGGGCCUAUCAAGACUGACAAAGCAGAGAUGGGUGGCUGACAAGGAACCAGGAGGAGAAAUUGGAGAAACUAAAAGCCAGCUGACAUGGAGCAAAGCCAGCAGAUUCAGCUGGAAUGGCAUUUUGUUGUAUGAUGAGAGAUGGAAAUAAAUUUGUGUAUGGUGUGAUAAUAGAACAGA